GACGAACGCUGGCGGCGUGCUUAACACAUGCAAGUCGAACGGAAAGGCCCUGCUUUUGUGGGGUGCUCGAGUGGCGAACGGGUGAGUAACACGUGAGUAACCUGCCCUUGACUUUGGGAUAACUUCAGGAAACUGGGGCUAAUACCGGAUAGGAGCUCCUGCUGCAUGGUGGGGGUUGGAAAGUUUCGGCGGUUGGGGAUGGACUCGCGGCUUAUCAGCUUGUUGGUGGGGUAGUGGCUUACCAAGGCUUUGACGGGUAGCCGGCCUGAGAGGGUGACCGGCCACAUUGGGACUGAGGUACGGCCCAGACUCCUACGGGAGGCAGCAGUGGGGAAUAUUGCACAAUGGGCGGAAGCCUGAUGCAGCAACGCCGCGUGCGGGAUGACGGCCUUCGGGUUGUAAACCGCUUUCGCCUGUGACGAAGCGUGAGUGACGGUAAUGGGUAAAGAAGCACCGGCCAACUACGUG
This 468-nucleotide ribosomal RNA is filed under the name uncultured bacterium. Its description in RNAcentral is "partial 16S ribosomal RNA". It matches the Rfam family "Bacterial small subunit ribosomal RNA", at positions 28 to 507 of the family's 1533-position model. The record is from RNAcentral.